RNAcentral lists this ribosomal RNA (271 nucleotides) under uncultured prokaryote. Its description in RNAcentral is "partial 16S ribosomal RNA". It matches the Rfam family "Bacterial small subunit ribosomal RNA", at positions 524 to 794 of the family's 1533-position model. The record is from RNAcentral.
UACGUAGGUGGCGAGCGUUAUCCGGAUUUACUGGGUUUAAAGGGUGCGCAGGCGGGAGAUUAAGUCGGCGGUGAAAUUUUGCAGCUCAACUGUAAAAGUGCCUUCGAAACUGGUUUCCUUGAGUGUAGAUGAAGUAGGCGGAAUUUGUGGUGUAGCGGUGAAAUGCAUAGAUAUCACGAGGAACUCCGAUUGCGCAGGCAGCUUACUAAACUACUACUGACGCUCAGGCACGAAGGCGUGGGGAUCAAACAGGAUUAGAUACCCGCGUAGU